GUGGCAAAUUGCAUACACAGCUUCCAAAGUUGACACGUUAUGAACCUGGCAGGACCUAUCUCCCCCGUCGUUUCUGGUGACGAACAACUCAUGCGUCAAAAAGGAAAGUCGGGAACCGAAGAGCCAGGUUUUGUAAUCCGGGAAUGGGGGACAUGAAAACCCCAGAUUUUGACGACUUGUUGGCAGCCUUCGACAUUCCAGACAUCGAUGCCAAAGAGGCCAUCCAGUCUGCACCAGAAGAGGGUGGGGAGGGGUCAGGGAAGGUCGGGAGCAGCGUGUCGGGGGCCGGGGGUCCCUCGCCAAGACCUUCCAGCCCCACUGACUCCCCUCCCAACUCCCAAAGUGAGCCUCCAGUGGUCAGUGUGAUUGUUAAGAACAGGGUGAGGCCUGACUCUUAUGAAGAGACUGAGGGGUCAGAUGAAGAGGAUGGGGACAGCCCUGGGGGCAGUGGGACAGAACAUGAGGUGGAGACUGGGAUCGGAGUCAAGGGGGGCCUGCUGAGUUCACAACUGGCUCCUAGGAUGCCUGGUCUGGUCUCCUCAGAACCUCUCCUCCAGAAUGGGUUUGAGGGGUCCACAGUCACGCUGGAGCCCAGUGUGAGAGACCAGGGGCUGGGCCAGGCCAACGGGGAGCUCUGGUCAACCUGCUCCCCUCCCACUGCGAGUGAAGGAGGGGGCAGCAUUGGAGGCGCAGGGGGGUCGGCCUGCACAACCAAACAUACAGUUAAUAUUCACAACAGACGGAAACCUCUCUCCUCUCAUACCUCUGCUGGUCCUAUAACCUCCACAUCCUCCUCAUCAUCAUUGUCGUCCUCACUCUCUGUCAACCCACACCUCUCUCCUCCCUCCAUCCUGAGUGAGGACACUCUGUGCCCUCUCGGGCCUCUUUCCUCCCCCCCUCCCUCCAACGGAAGCCUGAGAGUGGGGGUGAGGCGCAUCAUGGACUCGGAUGAGGACGACUCUGAACCGGAUUUGGGAAGCCCGCUAGUGAUCCAAGAGAGCCCAGAUUCUCCCAUGUGCUCCCCUCCCAAAUUUCCACGCAGACACCGCCAAGUGUCCUCUUCAGAGCUGUUCAGCUCCCCAACUCCCUCCUCCCCUCCUCUCCUCUCUUGCCCUCCUCCUCUCUCCUCCAAACCCCCUCCCUCGAUCUCUCAGACAUCUUCCAGCUCUAAACCGCCCCCUCCAGAUGAAGUACCCUCCACCCCCAGGUCUCCCUCCCCUCCUCCUGCCCAGCCCCAGGCCCGUCAGUCCUGGCUGGCUGCCGCCCUCUGUAACCCCAGACCCAUCUCUAGCCCUGUGAUGGAGGAAAGAAACCCGGAACAUGUGAUCGAGGAGAGGGACUCACCAGAGAGCCCCCCGCCUGACCAGACAGGUUCUGCUAUGUCCACUGUGUCCAAGAGGAGCUCCAGCCCUGCACCAACCUCAGCAUCAACUCCACAGGGGGCUAGAGAGGGAGAGGAGCCCAUGGAGAGUGAGCCUAGCCUGGGGUGCAGGUCAGACAACAGUGAGAAGAUGGAGGUUGUGGAUGGAAGACAAACAGGAGACACAGAGACGGCUCCGGCCAAUUCUACGACAACACCAACAGCCCCCGUUCGCCCACUCAAAGUCCGAAUCAAAACAGUCAAGACCCCGACAGGCAGCAUCACCAGGACAGUGACACGAGUAGCAUCCAAAGGAGCAGGGGGGACCCCCUCAAAAGGCGCAGAUGGUUCCAAACCCUCCCCGGGGGGUCGUAAGGUCCUCAGCCGGCCCAAGAGGGUGGCAUCUCAGCAGCCUCCGCAGCAGAAGUCAAAGGGUGCCAGCCUCCUGCCUGUGUCUACACUCCAGGAUGCAAGUACUGCCAUGUUGAUGGCCGCCAACAAGGCCCAAAACAAGAUGGCCGCCGACAGCAACAAGCCCAAAGUGUCGGCUACGGCUGUCAGCAUCACCAAGUCAGCAGCCCUCCCCUCUGUCUCUUCCACCUCUUCCGCCUCCCCCAGAUUCAGUCCAGGGGGGGCCGGCGUGCGCAGCCUAGGUCAGAAGACCCUGAAUGGGGGUGUGUCUGUGUCCCCCUCCCCCCUCCUCACCCCUCAGGGGGGAAGUAGACCAGCCUCCAUAGUGAACAGUACAGGAGCCAUUAUCUCCAGGAGCCAGUCCAGUCUGGUGGAGGCCUUCAACAAGAUCCUCAACAGCAAGAACCUGCUGCCCAGCUACAGACCAGACCUCUGUACACCACUACCACCAGAGUGGGACCUGCCUCUGCCUGCACAGGGCUACCGCUGUCUGGAGUGUGGCGAUGCGUUUGCCCUGGAGCGCAGCCUGGCCCGCCACUAUGACCGGCGGUCCCUGAGGAUCGAGGUGACCUGUAACCACUGUGCCAAGCGGCUGGCAUUUUUCAACAAGUGCAGCCUGCUGCUCCACGCCAGGGAACACAAGGAGAGGGGACUGGUCAUGCAGUGUUCCCACCUGGUCAUGAGACCUGUCAGUGUAGAGCAGAUGAUAGGCCAACAGGACACCACUCCCAUCGGUGAGAGAGACUGCAUGCUCUCUCCCUCCCUCUCCACCUCCUCUGUCCCAGCGUCCUCUGCUCCGGCUGUGACUUCAGCAGUAACCCCGGCAACCCUGAGCCCCGCCCCGCAACUGCAGCAGCCAAUCAUCAGUAAGAAGGCGACAGAGCCGUUGCUGUACACCAAUAACAAGUGUCCUGAGUGUAAGGUGCAGUUCUGCAGCAAGGCUGAGGUGGCUGCCCACUUCCAAGAGGUCAAACCAGCCCUUAACACUUCCUGUACGGAGUGUUCUCCUCCCAUGCUCCUUCCUAACGGCUGCAGUGCCUCUGCUCACGCUCGCAUCCACAACCCCCGCCCCCCCCACGUCUGCCCAGAGUGUGGGGGUGUGGCCAAGCAGCCAGCCUUUCAAUCCCAUUUGGAGGAGGCCUGUCUCCAUUUCACACGACGCAUCGGAUACCGGUGUUCUAGUUGUCAGGUGGUGUUCGGAGGGUUAAACUCGGUCAAGUCCCAUAUCCAGACGGCCCACUGUGAGGUGUUCCAUAAGUGUCCCAGCUGCCCGAUGGCCUUCAAGUCCUCCCCCAGCGCCCAGAGCCACAUCAACACCCAGCACCCCACACUCACUGGAGGACAGGCCAAGAUGAUCUACAAGUGUGUGAUGUGUGACACGGUAUUUACCCAGAAGCCACUGCUGUACGUCCACUUUGACACCCACCUAGUCAAGCAGAAGGUGCACGUGUUCAAGUGUCCUGAGUGCCCCAAGCUCUACGCGCAGAGAAGUUCCAUGCUGGAGCACAUCAAGACUACUCACAGAGGCCCUGCGGUCAAACAGGAAGUUCCCGUUGCCAUGCCGCCCUCCCCCGCCCCUCCCCCCCGGGUGCGGAGCUUGGUGAAGACAGAGAGCUCUGACGGAGAGGAGUGGGGAAGGGAGGAAGAGGAGGAGGAAGAGAGGGAUGGAGAGAGCAGUAAGACAAGCCCAGGGUGGAGCUGUGCUCCCUGCCAUGCCCGCUACGCUGACAGAGAGGACUACAUUACCCAUAUGGCCGAGCAGCAUGGCAAGGUCAGGCCUACUCUACUGCCGGCCCACGGGCCCAGUCCUGCCCAAAAUUAACCCCUAACUGGCCCUUAAAUGAAUCACCUAAUCAUCACAGGCCCAAUCCUCACUUGAGAAAAGUUAUGCUUAAUACGUCACUUACGUUCUUCCAUCAAAAUACGAUCAGAGUUUAUUUAUGCUCAACUUUGAGCUCCCCAGGUGUUUCUCAAGUUGGGAUUGGGCCCGAUCAUAUAGGUUAUAAAGUCAUAUCAUGUAUAUCUAAAGUUCUGGAGCACAGUCACCUCUCACAUGAAGUGGAGGGAUCCAGGAAAGUUUGCCCUCUUUUUUUUCUUUGAAGAACAGAUUUUCAGCCGUUUUUCCUCAAUCCUGAAGAAGUUCCCAUGUAGUCUGUGUGAGAACUCCUUCUCCUCCACGUCCAGCCUCAGACGCCACAUCAGAGUCAAACACAAGGGCAUCAAACGAGCCUUCCACUGCCGGUUGUGUGGUGAGGGUAAGAGGACGUUCAGCAGUAGACUGGUGUUGGAGAGACAUGUCCAGCUGAGACACAGCAUGUCAGCUCUGGACACAAAGCGAGGGAGGGGUGCAGAAGGGGCCGACAGUUCCUCGGAGCAGGACGGAGGCUCCAACCCUCCGUUCACUGUUUCAGCUGAGGAAGACGGAGGAGGAGGGUUGAAGACUGAGGAGGAAGAGGACGAUGUGACCGAGGGCAUCAUCCCUGCUAAGAGAUCUCGCGUCACCUCCUCGGCCCCCCCUCCCCAGCCAGAGUCUGGGUUCCACUGUACUCCGUGUGGCUUCACCACCGAGGACCGCGCCGUCUUCCUGGACCACAUCCCCCAGCACCGCUCCGAGGCCCUGGGGGGAGGAGUCAGCCUGCAGUGUCUACAGUGUGGAGCCUGCUUUGCCUCCGCCCCCUCCCUCUCCCGCCACCGCUUCAUCAGCCACAGGGUUCGAGACACACCCCCUGACAACCACAGCCGUCACGGCCAUAACGACUGCUCCCUGACACCAUCGCCCGGCAACGGCGGUAACCACAGUGACGGGAGUCCCAGAGGGGGUUCCCUGCCGGGGUCUCCCUCUUCCUCGUCUCACCCCCCCACACCGCUGGGGGAGGACGGGGAGGGCAGGGUGGGGUGUAAGGUGUGUGGGAAACGCUUUGAGAAGGUUUCGGAUCUGAACACACACUUCAGGACUCACGGCAUGGCCUUCAUCACCGCACGCAAGACAGACAAACCUGUCUAAGAGAGAGGGAGGGGAAGGUAGAGAAGGAGGAGGAGAGAGAGAGGGGAGAUGAUAUUUUGGAGGGAAGGAGGGUGAGAGAGUACUAUAAACUGCAGAUAUUUUAGUAAGAGAGAGGAGGUAUGGGAAGGAAAGCUCUUCACUGUAAACCGUUCUUCAGCAGUGUGUUCCUGUCAUCACUUAUCCAACACACAAGCACAUUGUGAUAACAGUUGUUGUUUUCAUUCAAUUCUUUCUUAUUUAAUUUUCUGUCACAUUUGUUAUAUGGCAGCCAUAACCUGUGUGUGUUUGUCUGACUGAUUCUGGACGCAGUACCUCAGGUGCUAUACCUGUCUAAACUGAGAUAGUAUUAAUAUCUUCUCACUGAGUUGUAAACAGUGGAGGCUGUUGAGAGGAGGACGGCUCAUAAUAAUGGCUGGAACGGAACACAUGGAAAGGCAUCAAACACAUGGUUUCCAUGUGUUUGAUGUAGUUAAUACCAUUCCACUGAUUCCACUCCAACCAUUACCACGAGCCCAUCCUCCCCAAUUAAGGUGCCACCAACCUCCUUUGGUUGUAAAUGAGUUAUGAGUUAUGAAACGGAUUAUUACAGGUUAUAUUACCAAAUAACACUUCCAUUCAGAAGUGUACUUUUUAAAAUGGAGACCGUUAACCACCAGUCAGUCUACAGCUGAGUUCUAUUAGGUUUCUGUUGUCUGUCAUCAACAGGGAAUGUGACUGGUGUUGGAAGAGACUAGUCAACAUGGGGGUGUGAUUUGCUUAUUGAUUUGAAUGUUUCUGUUUUCUAUGGUUCAUCCAAGCACAGAAUCUCACAGUGGAUUGGUGACAGCCACCACUGGUCUUUCUCUGUGUCGAGCCCGUCCCAGUUCUCAUUCUCACUAUUGCAUUGAUUUUCUUAUAGUUUUGUUCAUAGUAUUUGAUUUAAGGGUUUGUGUAUGUGCAGGUAUUUGUUUUUCAUUGUAAGCUCUGGAUUGGCUUUGUCUGUUGAAUGUUCUCCAUUCUCAUCCCCGUCCGUCUAGCCAUAUAGGAUGAUCAGGGAUGAGAUUGGCUCCACAGAGACGUCAGGCAGAGUAUUCCUGUUGAUCCGGCCUUGUAACAUCAGGAAUUCCAGAUGAAUCAGGAAACAUCCCAUCUCAAGAUGACCCUCUAUAACCUGGAGGGGUUGGGUUGGACCCUUCCAUUACUAAAGUGUGGUUGUACUUGACCACAACUGAACCAUAACCAUGUAAAUAUGAGUACUAGACAUCUAUCCUCUUUCUCUCUCUGAGAGGGAGGGAGAUAUGGAUGGAGUGAUAGUGAAACUCCUGGUGUUGGAGGAGAGGUGUGAGGGGUUGAGGACAGUGAUUGUAUGCUAAAGAAAAGCAUGUAAGGCGUGUUGAACUACAGUAAAACUCAAAGAUAUCUUUAAGUUAAAGAUUAGUCACCCAUCAGCGGUGUUAACUGUUCUCUUCUACUCUUUUGAUAAAGGUAUUGUGUGCGUGUCUCCAGCUAGAGUUUCUUCAGUCUUCAGAGAUUACAAUGUUAACACACAGCCCUCUUUCCCCCUGUAACCCAAUUCUAUGUUUUCUUUCUUGCGUAGAGCAUUUCUAAUAAAAUACCCAGAGAAAGUGAUUAUU
This is an RNA transcript of Oncorhynchus kisutch (coho salmon), 6388 nucleotides long. It is a transcript of the gene named zinc finger protein 687a, with no coding region annotated. NCBI's taxonomy places the organism in Eukaryota, Metazoa, Chordata, Actinopteri, Salmoniformes, Salmonidae. The transcript is spliced from 12 exons. The record is from RefSeq and is a predicted model, not a curated record.